RNAcentral lists this unclassified non-coding RNA (348 nucleotides) under soil metagenome. Its description in RNAcentral is "partial contains 5.8S ribosomal RNA, internal transcribed spacer 2, and large subunit ribosomal RNA". The stretch from base 1 to 120 matches the Rfam family "5.8S ribosomal RNA", at positions 35 to 154 of the family's 154-position model. The record is from RNAcentral.
GAUGAAGAACGCAGCAAAAUGCGAUAAGUAAUGUGAAUUGCAGAAUUCAGUGAAUCAUCGAAUCUUUGAACGCACAUUGCGCCCGCUGGUAUUCCGGCGGGCAUGCCUGUUCGAGCGUCAUUUCAACCCUCAAGCCCCCGGGUUUGGUGUUGGGGAUCGGCUCUGCCCUUCUGGGCGGUGCCGCCCCCGAAAUACAUUGGCGGUCUCGCUGCAGCCUCCAUUGCGUAGUAGCUAACACCUCGCAACUGGAACGCGGCGCGGCCAUGCCGUAAAACCCCAACUUCUGAAUGUUGACCUCGGAUCAGGUAGGAAUACCAGCUGAACUUAAGCAUAUCAAUAAGCGGAGGA